This 103-nucleotide ribosomal RNA is filed under the name Gemmatimonadota bacterium. RNAcentral describes it as "Gemmatimonadetes bacterium (marine metagenome) partial 23S ribosomal RNA". The record is from RNAcentral. Lineage: Bacteria; Pseudomonadati; Gemmatimonadota.
GGCGUAGGUAGAGAGAAUUGGAAAAUCCGUCUCUUGUUUCCGAAAUCUUACAGGCUAUUGGAUUCCUUCGGGAUGAAGAUAGAAUCGUUGAUACCGUCGUGCC